CACCGGUGUUUGAUGCUGCAGACUGGUCA
RNAcentral lists this non-coding RNA (29 nucleotides) under Vibrio phage 1.185.O._10N.286.49.C2. The record is from RNAcentral. Lineage: Duplodnaviria; Heunggongvirae; Uroviricota; Caudoviricetes.